CUCAUUAUUUAAUAGUCUAAUAAUGUUGUGUUUGUGCAGACUGCUCAAAAAAACUGAUAAUCCAAGUCAAUUCAACAGAUCAGUGUUUCUGGAAGGAAAGUAGCUCAACAGUUCCAGAUAUAAAACAGACAUGUCUAUCAUAUAAUAACGACAAUAAUUUUAACUUGAAUGUCACACUAAACAUCUCUUCUCUUGGACAAUGCAGAUCAUACAGUUUCAACAUAACAAAACAGGGGGAGAAUUAUGAAUUAAGAAUGAACGAGACGGUUGAAGGCAUAAAACUGUGGCUAUUGACAAAUGAUUAUUGUUUGCCAUCACUUCUGAAUUCAGCAGGUGUGUAGGGUGUUAAUGGUGAAGUUUGUGAGUUUUGUUGUUCUUUUUAGUGCACAAUAACCCCUACAGACCCACACAACACCACAUGAGAACAAAGCUGUCCAGAAUGAUUGAUCAAUGAUCAAUGCAAACCAAAAUCAGAUCCUAACACACUUAAGACCAGAAUUAUCU
Cyprinus carpio (common carp) is the source of this 504-nucleotide long non-coding RNA. RefSeq lists it as uncharacterized. Lineage: Eukaryota; Metazoa; Chordata; Actinopteri; Cypriniformes; Cyprinidae. The transcript is spliced from 3 exons. The record is from RefSeq and is a predicted model, not a curated record.